This 72-nucleotide transfer RNA is filed under the name Candidatus Roizmanbacteria bacterium RIFCSPLOWO2_01_FULL_38_11. Its description in RNAcentral is "tRNA-Lys". It matches the Rfam family "tRNA". From Rfam's summary of the family: Transfer RNA (tRNA) molecules are approximately 80 nucleotides in length. The record is from RNAcentral. Lineage: Bacteria; Candidatus Roizmaniibacteriota.
GGUCCGGUAGCUCAAUGGUAGAGCAGCUCCCUCUUAAGGAGUUGGUUGUGGGUUCGAGUCCCUCCCGGAUCA